GAUGAACGCUGGCGGCGUGCCUAAUACAUGCAAGUCGAGCGAACGGACGAGAAGCUUGCUUCUCUGAUGUUAGCGGCGGACGGGUGAGUAACACGUGGAUAACCUACCUAUAAGACUGGGAUAACUUCGGGAAACCGGGGCUAAUACCGGAUAAUAUUUUGAACCGCAUGGUUCAAAAGUGAAAGACGGUCUUGCUGUCACUUAUAGAUGGAUCCGCGCUGCAUUAGCUAGUUGGUAAGGUAACGGCUUACCAAGGCAACGAUGCAUAGCCGACCUGAGAGGGUGAUCGGCCACACUGGAACUGAGACACGGUCCAGACUCCUACGGGAGGCAGCAGUAGGGAAUCUUCCGCAAUGGGCGAAAGCCUGACGGAGCAACGCCGCGUGAGUGAUGAAGGUCUUUGGAUCGUAAAACUCUGUUAUUAGGGAAGAACAUAUGUGUAAGUAACUGUGCACAUCUUGACGGUACCUAAUCAGAAAGCCACGGCUAACUACGUG
Molecule: ribosomal RNA, 497 nt
Filed under: uncultured bacterium
Lineage: Bacteria
Description: partial 16S ribosomal RNA
Rfam family: Bacterial small subunit ribosomal RNA
Source: RNAcentral